UCUGUUUUCAGCCCCGAUUAAGGAAAGAAACCCCGGGGACGUAGGGAGCAGCUCUCACGGAAUGGGAGCUUACGUUUAGCGAUUUAGGGAGUACUUCGGCCAAGGCCAACCAAGUAAAGGCAAGGCGCCCAUGUAUGGUUGACGG
Long non-coding RNA from Cucurbita moschata (crookneck pumpkin), 145 nucleotides. RefSeq lists it as uncharacterized. Lineage: Eukaryota; Viridiplantae; Streptophyta; Magnoliopsida; Cucurbitales; Cucurbitaceae. The transcript is spliced from 3 exons. The record is from RefSeq and is a predicted model, not a curated record.